This 272-nucleotide ribosomal RNA is filed under the name uncultured Ascomycota. RNAcentral describes it as "partial 18S ribosomal RNA". It matches the Rfam family "Eukaryotic small subunit ribosomal RNA", at positions 548 to 826 of the family's 1831-position model. Lineage: Eukaryota; Fungi; Ascomycota. The record is from RNAcentral.
UUGGAGGGCAAGUCUGGUGCCAGCAGCCGCGGUAAUUCCAGCUCCAAUAGCGUAUAUUAAAGUUGUUGAGGUUAAAAAGCUCGUAGUUGAACCUUGGGCCUAGCCGGCCGGUCCGCCUCACCGCGUGCACUGGCUCGGCUGGGCCUUUCCUUCUGGAGAACCGCAUGCCCUUCACUGGGUGUGCCGGGGAACCAGGACUUUUACUCUGAAUAAAUUAGAUCGCUUAAAGAAGGCCUAUGCUCGAAUACAUUAGCAUGGAAUAAUAGAAUAGG